This is a long non-coding RNA of Hemicordylus capensis (graceful crag lizard), 747 nucleotides long. RefSeq lists it as uncharacterized. The transcript is spliced from 3 exons. The record is from RefSeq and is a predicted model, not a curated record. Lineage: Eukaryota; Metazoa; Chordata; Lepidosauria; Squamata; Cordylidae.
AAAUGAUUCAGGGCUCCAUUUCUGGGAAUAUGAUGCUUUCCAUUUGUUCACAGGUCAGGCAGCUACCUGAACUCUGCCCCUGUUGAAGUGUUUCCCUUAAAGAUAAGGGAAUACUCUUUCAUCUUUCUGGAAGCUAUCCGAGCAUUCCAUGGAAACGGAAGCAGCUUAGAACUAAAGGUCUUGCUUUUUGUGGCGGUUGCUCCUCUGCCCCCGCCGCACAGUGUGGUAUUGGUUUGCAAAUAAUCCAGCUUCUGAGAGCAACAGCUACUAAUUCGACAUCUCAAGAGUGCUAUGAUAUCUGGCAGGUGAAAAGAUUCCUACUUUUACUGUGUGUGUGCGUGCACGUGCAUAUUGAAUAUACUUUUCAUUUCAGGCAAACUGCUUCCAGCUCCACCAGAUCAGAAAGUUAAAUACAAAGGUUUUUAAAAUGGCAUUACACAUUUCUAAGCAGUAUGAGAAUUACUGGACUUUUUUCUUAUAUUUUACAGCAUUCAAAAACUUGCCUUGUUGGAAUAUUUCCUGGAUCUAAGAUAAAUGCUGUCUUUGGACUAUAAUGUGGGGUUAUUUCAGUAAGAUUAAGUACACAUGCCACCAGCAAUUAAUACAACAGCACCCUUACAAUUAUUAAUGUGAAAUAAAUAUGGAUUGCAGAUGUGCUCUCUCAUUGUUAAAUAAAGUGGGUGAUUUAUAAAUUGUCAGUUUUCAGACUGAAUUCCCUAUCUGCACCAAGCAUCUGAGCUGGAUUUA